RNAcentral lists this non-coding RNA (26 nucleotides) under Cricetulus griseus (Chinese hamster). The record is from RNAcentral. Lineage: Eukaryota; Metazoa; Chordata; Mammalia; Rodentia; Cricetidae.
AGGGUGGGACCAGUGAGAUGACUCUG